GCCCACAUAGCUCAGUCGGUAGAGCAUCAGACUUUUAAUCUGAGGGUCGCGGGUUCAAGUCCCCCUGUGGGCG
This 73-nucleotide transfer RNA is filed under the name Octopus bimaculoides (California two-spot octopus). RNAcentral describes it as "transfer RNA lysine (anticodon UUU)". It matches the Rfam family "tRNA". Rfam says of the family: Transfer RNA (tRNA) molecules are approximately 80 nucleotides in length. Their secondary structure includes four short double-helical elements and three loops (D, anti-codon, and T loops). Lineage: Eukaryota; Metazoa; Mollusca; Cephalopoda; Octopoda; Octopodidae. The record is from RNAcentral.